This 484-nucleotide ribosomal RNA is filed under the name uncultured bacterium. Its description in RNAcentral is "partial 16S ribosomal RNA". It matches the Rfam family "Bacterial small subunit ribosomal RNA", at positions 30 to 507 of the family's 1533-position model. The record is from RNAcentral.
AUUGAACGCUGGCGGCAGGCCUAACACAUGCAAGUCGAGCGGAAGAAGGGAGCUUGCGCCUGGAUUCAGCGGCGGACGGGUGAGUAAUGCCUAGGAAUCUGCCUGGCAGUGGGGGAUAACGUCCGGAAACGGGCGCUAAUACCGCAUACGUCCUGAGGGAGAAAGUGGGGGUUCUUCGGACCUCACGCUAUCAGAUGAGCCUAGUUCGGAUUAGCUAGUUGGUGGGGUAAAGGCCUACCAAGCCGACGAUCCGUAACUGGCCUGAGAGGAUGGUCGGUCACACUGGAGCUUGGACACGGUCCAUACGCCUACGGGAGGCAGCAGUGGGGAAUGUUGGACAAUGGGCGAAAGCAUGACCCAGCCAUGCCGCGUGUGUGAAGAAGGUCUUCGGAUUGUAAAGCACGUUAAGUUGGGAGGAAGGGCUGUAAGUUAAUACCUUGCUGUUUUGACGGUACCAACAGAAUAAGCACCGGCUAACUACGUG